AUCAGAAUCACUUUGGGGACUUGCUCAGAUACAGAUUGCUGGGUCCCAUGCCCAGAGUUGUUGAUUCAGUAGAUCUACUUGGGGCUAAAGAAUUUGUAUCCCUAACAAGUUCCCAGGUGAUGUUGGU
Molecule: microRNA precursor, 127 nt
Filed under: Marmota monax (woodchuck)
Lineage: Eukaryota; Metazoa; Chordata; Mammalia; Rodentia; Sciuridae
Source: RNAcentral